AUGCUGUGCUGGCUGUUUGCACACCCACCCCCCUCCGAGACUCCUCAUCUCUGCAGUGGAAGCAAGGGACCAAUUCCCCCAUCUGGCCGCUGGAGAGACUGGCCUUCCAGAAUCCUCCGGAAUUGGAACGCUGUCACCCAGCUUGCAAACAGCAAAGCAGUGCCAGAUCUGUUUCCUUGGAGUGUGGGGGUGGGGGCUUACUUUGCCCACAAUCCCCAAAGCCCCUCUCAAAGGGUUUCUAAUAUGACCAGGGAUGCAAGACCCCAACAGGACACAGACAAGCAGCCGUCACCCUGGGCUGUUACAGACCCGGAUUUCCCUGAUUCAGGGAGCUGUGCCCACGUGGAAGGCGGGGGCGGGGGAGACAUGGGUUAAAUAAGAACAGGAAGGAAAUAGUGCCAGGGCACCACCUCUGCUGCCAUCUUUGCUUUGUGGAUGGGUUACCUGGUGGGCACUGCUCCCACCUCAACCAUCACCUUGGCUUGAGCUUAGCUGGGCCCCUGCUGGCUUCUGGGGCUCUGGAAAGGAGCUGACCACCAAGUAUCCUCUUCCCAGGAGAGGCUGUGAGUCUGGGGUCCUAGGGGUUUACCCACCAGUGCCACUGAUCCCACCAGGACCCACCUGAUGCACGCCACGGCCAGACGUAUCGGUGGCCCCUUGCUCCAGAGAUGUGGCCUUGACCUCUCUGCUUGCAGCUUGCACAGGGUUGCUCUGAGACCCAGAGCUGUCAAUGCUGUGGGAUGCAACAGAGUCUCCUGGGGGAGCUGUUUCAACUCCCAGGUUCCCACAUCUGCUUGGGCCCAUGGCUGUAGUUCACGGCCCACUGUGGUCCAUUUUCUCUCUGCUACAAAGCAGUGCAUGGUGUGUCUCCGUGUUUGUGGGAACCAGCACCCCAAAGCUUCCUCUUGCUUCCAUCAACCCCUGCCUCAAAUUUCAAGAUCCUCAUUGGACUCACAGCCUUAGGGAAAUACUCAGGGCCGCCAGGCGUGGGUAGAAGUUCUGGUUAUUGCUGCACCAUGGGUUUCUUGGGAUCCUUUGAACAAGCCAUUUGCUGGAGACCCAACACCCUCACUUCCUUUGGGAGAACUAUUGUCCCUUUCUUCGUAGGAUUUCGUGAAUGAGAAAUCCAUCACCACCCAUUCAAACUACAAUGGGGGGACAUGUGACCCAAAUCUAGCCAAUCAACAUGUGUCCCAUCCCCUCUCAAUGGUGAUUGGUCCAGGGGGUGGGCAUGUAACAAAUAAGAGCCAAUCACCACACCUCUUGCAGCCUGAGAAAGCCACUCUGCUUAUUGGUGCGUAUGUUUUUUUUUAAAUUUUUUUAAUUUUUUGACAGGUAGAGUGGACAGUGUGAGAGAGAGACAGAGAGAAAGGUC
This 1375-nucleotide long non-coding RNA is filed under the name Oryctolagus cuniculus (rabbit). RNAcentral describes it as "lncRNA (ENSOCUG00000030616.1)". Lineage: Eukaryota; Metazoa; Chordata; Mammalia; Lagomorpha; Leporidae. The record is from RNAcentral.